Molecule: long non-coding RNA, 1132 nt
Organism: Daphnia magna
Lineage: Eukaryota; Metazoa; Arthropoda; Branchiopoda; Diplostraca; Daphniidae
Exons: 5
Source: RefSeq, a predicted model, not a curated record
ACUUACUCUCAUUAGCAGCAGCAGUACUGUUUUUGCCGCCGAGUGUGCAGAUAGAGAUAUUGAUGACUCAACCAUUUCUCAAAAAACGUUACGAGAGCCCUGAACCCUCAUAUUCUUAUUGUUCCCUUGUGAUAGACACCACCGGCACCACCCCCAUGUGAUAGACACCACGUGGUUCACGGGGCUCGUCGACCUCUAAGUUAAUCAGUUUGAUUUGACGGUUACCAGCGAAGCAGCAAUGCCUUCAACAAUCAAAUCGCCAUUCUGUCUAUCUUGGUGCAUCGAGAAGGCAGUCGUCGACGCAGAAUCCACAUUAUUCGCUAUUUCACUUACGUCAUAUAAGCCUUCCGGCGGAGCAAAGCGGCGGGUCCAAUUAUCAAAGACCAAAAGAAGAAGUUGACCAGCACACUCUUGUGUUUCUCUCUACCUUGUCUCCCUUUAAAACCCCCCAGCAUCAACGGUCGGUACGAAGAGCGGCAACUGAAAAGGUGCGGGGCUCUCGGCUCAUUAAGGUCCGGCCAGUUACUACUUGAUCCCGCUCUUACUAACAAGGCUAAGAAAAAAAAAAAAAAAGUACACGAGAACAACAACAGAAUGUUUUUUUUUUCUCUUUCCCAUCAACCCCCCCGACCGUUUAAAUAUACCUGCAUAAUGAGCGAUUUACACUCUCGGAGAGGAGAGAUAAUUGCCUUGUGCUCAGAAGAAGAGGAUUUAUUUAUUUUAUAUAUUUUUUUUUCCCCCUCUCUUUUUCUUUAUUCUUCUUGGUUCCAUGGCCGAAUAUAAAAGAAACUGUGAAUUCAUCAGCUUCUAAAGUAUCAGCUUUCUUUUGAAGGGGAUUAAAAAAAAGAAGAAGAAACGGACGAAAUACGAAACAAACUAUUUGCUAAAACGCACCGAUCGGAAGAUUUUUUUUUUUUUUUCACGGUUACUCGCUACAUCUAUAGAGAAUAACAUCGAAUUGACACCGCAUCUCGCAUGUUCGGAAAACGUCUCACUUAUUGUUCCAGCCGUAACCAAUUGAAAAAACCAUUUUUGACCAUACCAUGGACGCUAUACCGUCUGUCAUGUGACCGGAUCUUGCAUUUUUCAAUAGUCGGCAUUUUAUUUUCUAAUUUUCUCUCAAAAUAAAUUU